UAUACAGUGAUGAUGUACAUGUACGUUAAGGAAGCACUUCAUGGUGUUGAUGCUCUCUCUCUCUCUCUCUCUCUCUCUCUCUCUCUCUCUCUCUCUCUCUCUCUCUGUGAUAUUGACAGCAUUAUUCUCAAGCGUGGACAGUGUGAACCGAAAGCAAACUCUUAGCACCAUUUCAAACUUUGCAAACAGUCUAUGCAGAAAAUAAUCAUCAUGACUUUAUUAUAAGGAAGCUCUGGAGUGCGUUUCAUAAUUAUUAUAUACUACAUACAUUAUAUAUACAUACAGUACUGUAAUAUUCCAAUAUGUGCUUCAUUUCUCGCCUUAUUUCUGUUACAGAGAGCAGAAUCAGCUGAGUGUAAAGGUGAGUGUGUGUGAGUGUGUGUGUGUGUGUGUGUGUGUGUGUUUCCAUCCAGAUUGUUGAUGCUGAUCAACAGAAAUCAAACAGCUUUUAAAAAUAAAUAUUCUAGAUGUAUUGCCAUAAAACCUAAACAUUGCUAAGUAGUGAACAUUACAUGUCUCUUUCUGUCUGUCUGUCUGACCGUCUGUCUGUCUGUCUGUCUCUCUCUCUCUCUCUCUCUCUCUCUCUCUCAGUAUUUAACAUCAGGGGCGAAGCGCACUACAGCCUUGCUGCGAGGUUCCUGUGGCUCCUGCUCUCCUCCAGAAGUCCCAGAGGAAUAAAAAUCGCUGACUCGUCCAACUGCAGACUCUGAUUCACUAGGGUUAGGAUGGAGAGAGACGGGGAAAGAGAGCGAGACAGAGAGAGAGAGUGAGAGAGACAGACAGACAGAGAGAGAGAGAGAGAGAGAGAUAAGACAUUUCAUCCAGUUCAAGUGGAAAUGAAGCCUUGAACAUCCCGUGUGUUGUUAUUAGCAUUAGUGUAUUAUUACUAGGCUGUUUAUUAUGAUCAGAUUUUGCUGAGUGACAGGAGGGCGGAGCUUAGGUUAAAUCAACUCGGACAAUUACAAACUUGAUUAAAUGACAUCACCAUGAGCAUUUCUUUUCAUCUUUUCCAGCUCACUGCAUUCUAUCUGAACGAAUCACUUUUUUAAGAAAACAACACUUUUCUGGCUACGAGCUUCAGGAUCUUGCAGGUUGCAAUCUGGCUCUUCAGACCAAAUCAAACCAAACCAGUCGUUUAGAUUAGAUUUAGAGUUGAGCUUAAUUCUGCACGGGUUUGUCAGGUUGUUCAAGACUUCAAAAUGUUCAGGUAAGACUACAACAAAAACACAAACACACACAAAAUACAAUCAACACACACUGUAAAUAAUAUACACUGUACACAAACUACACAAUAUGCUCUAGGAUGAAGCAACUGAUCACAUCGUCUCGUCUAAAGAUGUUACGUACAAAACUCAAAUCUUAUAUUAUAUGAUCAAAAUACAGUUUGUUUCGAAUUAUGUGGAUGUGUGAGCAGACGCUUAGGCCAUUGUUUAUAAUUGAGGUCCCAUUACCGAAACUUGUGGCGUGAUAUAUCGAUAUAUCGGACAAUUAAUCAGUGAAAUUCAUACUGGGAGAUAUUUCAGAUAUAUCACACUAACACCGUUUUAAAUAUAUCUGAUGAAAUAUCGGAUAUAUCAGAUAAUCAUGGUGGAAUAUAUCGGACGAUAUAUCGGACAUAUCAGAUAAUCAUGGUGAAAUAUCAGAUGAUAUAUAUCGGACAUAUCAGAUAAUCAUGAUGAAAUACAUCAGAUGAUAUAUCGGGACAUCAGAUAACCAUGGUGAGAUAUAUCGGACGAUAUAUCGGACAGCAGAUAAUCAUGGUGAGAUAUAUCGGACGAUAUAUCGGACAUCAGAUAAUCAUGGUGAGAUAUAUCGGACGGCAUAUCAGACAUAUCAGAUAAUCAUGGAGAAAUAUAUCAGAUGAUAUAUCGGACAUAUUAGAUAAUCGUGUUGAGAUAUAUCAGACGAUAUAUCGGACAUAUCAGAUAUUCAUGGUGAGAUAUAUCAGACGAUAUCUCGGACAUAUCAGAUAAUCAUGGUGACAUAUAUCAGACAAUAUAUCGGACAUAUCAGAUAAUCAUGGUGGGAUAUAUCGGAGGAUAUAUUGGACAUAUCAGAUAAUCAUGGUGAGAUAUAUCGGACGAUAUAUCAGACAUAUCAGAUAAUCAUGGUGAGGUAUAUCAGAUGGCAUAUCAGACAUAUCAGAUAAUCAUGGAGAAAUAUAUCAGACGAUAUAUCGGACAUAUCAGAUAAUCAUGGUGAGAUAUAUCAGACGAUAUAUUGGACAUAUCAGAUAAUUGUGAGAUAUAUCAGACGAUAUAUCGGAC
This is a long non-coding RNA of Ictalurus punctatus (channel catfish), 2267 nucleotides long. NCBI's taxonomy places the organism in Eukaryota, Metazoa, Chordata, Actinopteri, Siluriformes, Ictaluridae. The record is from Ensembl.